GUAGUCCACGCCGUAAACGGUGGGCACUAGGUGUGGGGAACAUUCCACGUUCUCCGUGCCGAAGCUAACGCAUUAAGUGCCCCGCCUGGGGAGUACGGCCGCAAGGCUAAAACUCAAAGGAAUUGACGGGGCCCGCACAAGCGGCGGAGCAUGCGGAUUAAUUCGAUGCAACGCGAAGAACCUUACCUGGGUUUGACAUAUACCGGAAAGCUGCAGAGAUGUAGCCCCCGCAAGGUCGGUAUACAGGUGGUGCAUGGCUGUCGUCAGCUCGUGUCGUGAGAUGUUGGGUUAAG
RNAcentral lists this ribosomal RNA (293 nucleotides) under uncultured bacterium. RNAcentral describes it as "partial 16S ribosomal RNA". It matches the Rfam family "Bacterial small subunit ribosomal RNA", at positions 790 to 1084 of the family's 1533-position model. The record is from RNAcentral.